GGCGAGCGUUAUCCGGAUUUACUGGGCGUAAAGCGCACGCAGGUGGUAGCCAAAGUGGUGCGUGAAAGCUCUCGGCUCAACUGGGAGAGGACGUACCAAACUAGGGUACUGGAGACAGGUCAAGGCUGACGGAAUUCCGGGUGGAGUGGUGAAAUGCGUAGAGAUCCGGAGGAACACCAGUGGCGAAGGCGGUCAAGCUGGGCCUGGACUGACACUGAGGUGCGAAAGCGUGGGGAGCGAACGGGAUUAGAAACCCCGGUAGUCCACGCCGUAAACGAUGCAGACUAGAUGUUGGGCUCCGAGAGGGGUUUAGUGUCGAAGCAAACGCGAUAAGUCUGCCGCCUGGGGAGUACGGUCGCAAGGCUAAAACUCUAACGAAUUGACGGGGACCCGCACAAGCAGCGGAGCGUGUGGUUUAAUUCGAUGCUACACGAAGAACCUUACCUGGGAUUGACAUAUGGGUGGUAGUGAGCCGAAAGGCAAGCGACCCUUCGGGGAGCCUAUACAGGUGCUGCAUGGCUGUCGUCAGCUCGUGCCGUGAGGUGUCGGGUUAAGUCCCGUAACGAGCGCAACCCCUGUCCUUAGUUACAAGUGUCUAAGGGGACUGCCGGCGGGAAGCCGGAGGAAGGUGGGGAUGACGUCAAGUCAGCAUGGCCCUUAUAUCCAGGGCGACACACACGCUACAAUGGUCGGUACAGAGGGCAGCGAAGCCGCGAGGUGGAGCGAAACCCAGAAAGCCGGUCGUAGUUCGGAUUGCAGGCUGCAACUCGCCUGCAUGAAGUUGGAGUUGCUAGUAACCGCAGGUCAGCCAAUACUGCGGUGAAUACGUUCCCGGGUCUUGUACACACCGCCCGUCACGUCAUGGGAG
RNAcentral lists this ribosomal RNA (868 nucleotides) under uncultured organism. RNAcentral's name for it is "bacterial SSU rRNA". It matches the Rfam family "Bacterial small subunit ribosomal RNA", at positions 533 to 1410 of the family's 1533-position model. The record is from RNAcentral.